AGUAAGUUAUUGCCAGGGUUUUUAUUUUAUACUUUAAACAUUGAUUUUAUUUUUUAUGUUUUUAGAUGUUCAUGUUUUUGAAUGUUUUAUUUAAAUAAUAUAAAAAAUAAAAUAUAUAUUGACAUGGAUUAAACAAAGAUAUAUAUUAUUCUAUGUUGCAUAAGCAAAUUGGCAAAAUAGAGAUGGAAGAUAAAAAUAKGUCAAAGUAAU
RNAcentral lists this unclassified non-coding RNA (210 nucleotides) under Borreliella garinii. RNAcentral describes it as "partial 5S-23S ribosomal RNA intergenic spacer". Lineage: Bacteria; Pseudomonadati; Spirochaetota; Spirochaetia; Spirochaetales; Borreliaceae. The record is from RNAcentral.